RNAcentral lists this ribosomal RNA (422 nucleotides) under uncultured prokaryote. Its description in RNAcentral is "bacterial SSU rRNA". It matches the Rfam family "Bacterial small subunit ribosomal RNA", at positions 338 to 774 of the family's 1533-position model. The record is from RNAcentral.
CCUACGGGUGGCAGCAAGGAAGAAUAUUGGGCAAUGGGGGAAACCCUGACCCAGCAAUGCCGCGUGAAGGAAGAAGGCCUUCGGGUUGUAAACUUCUGUGACAGGGGACGAAAGAAAUGACGGUACCCUGAGAGGAAGCCCCGGCAAACUACGUGCCAGCAGCCGCGGUAAUACGUAGGGGGCGAGCGUUGUCCGGAAUUACUGGGCGUAAAGAGCGCGUAGGCGGCUGAGCAAGUCGCAUGUGAAAGCCCCAGGCUUAACUUGGGGAUUGCAUACGAAACUGCUCAGCUUGAGUGCGGUAGAGGAAAGUGGAAUUCCUAGUGUAGCGGUAAAAUGCGCAGAUAUUAGGAGGAACACCAGUGGCGAAGGCGACUUUCUGGGCCGCAACUGACGCUGAGGCGCGAAAGCGUGGGGAGCAAACA